AAUUAUCCUGUAUUAUAUUGUAUGAUAUACUUUCUGUGACAGAUCCAAUUCAAGCUCCAAUCCAAGGGCUCUACAUUCUCCCCGUUUCUGCAGAAACUAUUUCUCCUAUCACUGCUCUGCAAGAGGAAAACACAGAGACAAUUUCUCCUACCAUUGCUCUGCAAGAGGACAACUCAGAGACAGUAGUAAGCUUGGACGAUGUCACCAUGUCCCCUGCAAAAGUAAAAUGCCCUUCUUGCCAGAAGAUUGUCAGCACUGAGAUCUACUAUAAACUGGGCAGCAAUGCCUUUCUCUUUUGCUGUCUCUUAUCUGUGGUAGGGUGCCUGGCCGGAUGUUGCCUGGUCCCCUUUUGUAUGAAUCGCUUCAAAGAUGUCAUCCACAGGUGUCCAUCCUGCCACAAAGAUAUAUGUUCAGUAAAUAGAAUUUGAAGCAAAGAGUAAUAAAGUUAUUGAUCUGCAAUAACAUGACUGUGAAAACCUCCAGAAGAGCUUAAAGCUGAGCACAGGGGUCAGGCCUGGAAUUUUGUCUCUGUGCUGGGGAAGUCCACAUGUAGGCUUUGAAAUGU
Sinocyclocheilus grahami is the source of this 565-nucleotide long non-coding RNA. RefSeq lists it as uncharacterized. The record is from RefSeq and is a predicted model, not a curated record. The transcript has 4 exons. Lineage: Eukaryota; Metazoa; Chordata; Actinopteri; Cypriniformes; Cyprinidae.